UUUACGGAGAGUUUGAUCCUGGCUCAGGACGAACGCUGGCGGCGUGCUUAACACAUGCAAGUCGAACGAUGAAGCUGGAGCUUGCUCCGG
Molecule: ribosomal RNA, 90 nt
Filed under: Actinomycetales bacterium
Lineage: Bacteria; Bacillati; Actinomycetota; Actinomycetes; Actinomycetales
Description: partial 16S ribosomal RNA
Rfam family: Bacterial small subunit ribosomal RNA
Source: RNAcentral